This 73-nucleotide transfer RNA is filed under the name Elusimicrobiota bacterium. RNAcentral describes it as "Elusimicrobia bacterium (groundwater metagenome) tRNA-Met". It matches the Rfam family "tRNA". From Rfam's summary of the family: Transfer RNA (tRNA) molecules are approximately 80 nucleotides in length. Their secondary structure includes four short double-helical elements and three loops (D, anti-codon, and T loops). Lineage: Bacteria; Pseudomonadati; Elusimicrobiota. The record is from RNAcentral.
GGCGCCGUAGCUCAGUGGUUAGAGCGAGCGUUUCAUAAGCGCUAGGUCGGAGGUUCGAUACCUCCCGGCGCCA